This 435-nucleotide ribosomal RNA is filed under the name Echinodera corcyrensis. RNAcentral's name for it is "eukaryotic LSU rRNA". It matches the Rfam family "Eukaryotic large subunit ribosomal RNA", at positions 1360 to 1664 of the family's 3401-position model. The record is from RNAcentral. Lineage: Eukaryota; Metazoa; Arthropoda; Insecta; Coleoptera; Curculionidae.
GCGCGAACUUUCACGAGCGAGCGCGGUCACGAAGCCCUGACGAGUAGGAGGGUCGCGGCGGUGAGCGCAGAAGGGCUGGCCGCGAGGCCGUCUGGAGCCGCCGUCGGUGCAGAUCUUGGUGGUAGUAGCAAAUACUCCAGCGAGGCCCUGGAGGACUGACGUGGAGAAGGGUUUCGUGUGAACAGCCGUUGCACACGAGUCAGUCGAUCCUAAGCCCUAGGCGAAAGCCGAUGUCGAUGCGGUGUAGUUUUUACGAUAGAUAGACAGACAGACAGACGAAAUUCGACGACUACSACGAAAGAAACAUCAAUUCGUCGUCUAGUCGUCAUCGUCGUCGUAAGUCUAAUUAAUAACGCGAGAGCACACACCCGUCGGGCGAAAGGGAAUCCGGUUCCUAUUCCGGAACCUGGCAGCGGAACCGUCAAAAAGUCGGGC